Molecule: ribosomal RNA, 501 nt
Filed under: Triticum aestivum (bread wheat)
Lineage: Eukaryota; Viridiplantae; Streptophyta; Magnoliopsida; Poales; Poaceae
Description: partial small subunit ribosomal RNA
Source: RNAcentral
AUGGCCAGCUUCCCAGGGGCCGGAGGCUACGACGCCAUGGCGGGAUCCGGCGAUGACGAGGACAAGGAGGCCAUGAAGAGCCUCUUCACCGGCGCGGCCCCUGCCCCCGCGGAGGAGGAGGAGGAGGUCGAUGAGGGGUACGCCGUCGUGGUGAUGAAGGCGGGGGAGGAGAGGGGGAUCGGGAAGGAGGGGUUGCGGAAGAGGCUGGUCAGGGAGGGGGAGGGGCCACAGCUCCCCGGCACCGGCGACGAGGUCGAAGUGCACUACACGAGGACGCUGGCGGACGGCACCAAGUUCGACUCCAGCCGGGAUCACGACGCCCCGUUCAGGUUCACCCUCGACCGAGAUUUUGUCAUAGUUGAUGGUGUGAGGACUUAUAAUGUGAUAAAGUUCAUUGAUGAUAGCCAAGGGUUCAUGCUCGGAAACGACUACAUCUUGCUCCAUGUUGUCGGCUCAGCUAAAGUCCUUAAUCAUGAGGAGAUGGGACACGUCGAUUGUUAG